GGGGCUGAACGGAAUUGACGGGAAGUUGAUUGAAAAUGUAAGCAUGUCGGGCGAUCAAGAUUUGUCCCGUAAAAACACAUCUUGAAACAAUAAUUGGCGAAACAAACUACGCUCUUGCUGCCUAAUCGAAUAAAGUAGAUGACGCUUAGUUCCGAAUAAGAUUCGGAAGCAAGACAUUCCGCAAAAGACCCGCCUUUAGUCGUUUGAGUUCGGAGUGCUGUAAGUAAAGGAUAGAGUUUCUAAAGCUUGUAUUGAAACUUGAAAUUUUUUAAGCUAAGGCAGUAAUUGGGUGUUUGUUCUCUGUUGCUGUUCGAAAAUUAAAAACAAACUACACAUGUAGAAAGCAUUUGCAAUGCUUGUUCGGACCAGGGUUCAAAUCCCUGCAGCUCCACAA
This 394-nucleotide transfer-messenger RNA is filed under the name Bacteroidales. Its description in RNAcentral is "WQTX01 sp012519815 Standard tmRNA". It matches the Rfam family "transfer-messenger RNA". Rfam says of the family: Bacterial tmRNA, also known as 10Sa RNA or SsrA, is named for its dual tRNA and mRNA-like properties. Its role is to liberate the mRNA from a stalled ribosome. RNAcentral also lists the same sequence under 1 other name. The record is from RNAcentral. Lineage: Bacteria; Pseudomonadati; Bacteroidota; Bacteroidia.